RNAcentral lists this ribosomal RNA (254 nucleotides) under uncultured bacterium. Its description in RNAcentral is "partial 16S ribosomal RNA". It matches the Rfam family "Bacterial small subunit ribosomal RNA", at positions 524 to 776 of the family's 1533-position model. The record is from RNAcentral.
CACGUAGGGGGCGAGCGUUGUCCGGAUUUAUUGGGCGUAAAGAGCUCGUAGGCGGCUCAGUAAGUCAGGUGUGAAAACUCCAGGCUCAACCUGGAGACGCCACCUGAUACUGCUGUGGCUAGAGUCCGGUAGGGGAGCAUGGAAUUCCUGGUGUAGCGGUGAAAUGCGCAGAUAUCAGGAGGAACACCGGUGGCGAAGGCGGGUCUCUGGGCAGUAACUGACGCUGAGGAGCGAAAGCGUGGGGAGCAAACAGG